UGAUAAACUGGAGGAAGGUGGGGAUGACGUCAAGUCAUCAUGGCCCUUACGACCAGGGCUACACACGUGCUACAAUGGCGCAUACAAAGAGAAGCGACCUCGCGAGAGCAAGCGGACCUCAUAAAGUGCGUCGUAGUCCGGAUUGGAGUCUGCAACUCGACUCCAUGAAGUCGGAAUCGCUAGUAAUCGUGGAUCAGAAUGCCACGGUGAAUACGUUCCCGGGCCUUGUACACACCGCCCGUCACACCAUGGGAGUGGGUUGCAAAAGAAGUAGGUAGCUUAACCUUCGGGAGGGCGCUUACCACUUUGUGAUUCAUGACUGGGGUGAAGUCGUAACAAGGUAACCGUAGGGGAACCUGCGGUUGGAUCACCUCCUUA
This 378-nucleotide ribosomal RNA is filed under the name Escherichia coli. Its description in RNAcentral is "bacterial SSU rRNA". It matches the Rfam family "Bacterial small subunit ribosomal RNA", at positions 1156 to 1533 of the family's 1533-position model. The record is from RNAcentral. Lineage: Bacteria; Pseudomonadati; Pseudomonadota; Gammaproteobacteria; Enterobacterales; Enterobacteriaceae. RNAcentral also lists the same sequence under 1 other name.